Long non-coding RNA from Etheostoma cragini (Arkansas darter), 194 nucleotides. RefSeq lists it as uncharacterized. The record is from RefSeq and is a predicted model, not a curated record. The transcript has 3 exons. NCBI's taxonomy places the organism in Eukaryota, Metazoa, Chordata, Actinopteri, Perciformes, Percidae.
UUUUUACUCAUUCAAGUUCCCUCUAUCACAUAUGAAAGUCCCAAGAGAUCAAAGUGGUGGAAAGUAUUGAAAAAUACUGAAAUUGGUGAUGCCAAUUUCCCAUUGCAGCCCAUGUGAAGGGGAGACACUCCAGGUGAAAAGGGAAAAUAUUUUAACUAACAGAUAUCACCGUGAAACCUCCCAGGUUGAUUUCU